UACGUAGGGGGCAAGCGUUGUCCGGAUUUAUUGGGCGUAAAGAGCUCGUAGGCGGUCUGUCGCGUCGGAUGUGAAAACCCAGGGCUCAACCCUGGGCCUGCAUUCGAUACGGGCAGACUAGAGUGUGGCAGGGGAGACUGGAAUUCCUGGUGUAGCGGUGAAAUGCGCAGAUAUCAGGAGGAACACCGGUGGCGAAGGCGGGUCUCUGGGCCAAUACUGACGCUGAGGAGCGAAAGCGUGGGGAGCGAACAGG
Molecule: ribosomal RNA, 253 nt
Filed under: uncultured bacterium
Lineage: Bacteria
Description: partial 16S ribosomal RNA
Rfam family: Bacterial small subunit ribosomal RNA
Source: RNAcentral